GUCCGCCCAGCUGUGCGCCACUCUGUGCGCCACUGAAGUGAAAGUGAAAGUAACUGUAAUGCGGGGCGAGACGGAGUGAAAUAAAGGGUAAAAUCUCAGUGAAUCUCAGUCUUCAGUCUCCUGCAGGGUGAGUGAUCUCCAGGCAGCACUGCCUCUCCGCGCUGGCGCCGAUUCUACAGCAGGUAAACUCUGUUUAAGGUGAACACACCGCGCUGCGUCCACUGCAGGUCCGGAUCCGGACCGUUAUUUAUACAGGUCAGUCAUGCAGUCCUGCAGUUCUGCCCUUUGUGUCCUGAUCUUACUGAUAGGUACAGGCACUGAUGCCUCUACAUCGCUGGACUCUGCUGGUGCCAACGCUACAGCUAUUAACACCUCUACAUCGCUGGACUCUGCUGGUGCCAACGCUACAGCUAUUAACAGUAAGUGAGCAGUCAGAGGUCAGACUUCACUAUUCAGACAGCCAAACACAUGCUAA
Pygocentrus nattereri (red-bellied piranha) is the source of this 475-nucleotide long non-coding RNA. Lineage: Eukaryota; Metazoa; Chordata; Actinopteri; Characiformes; Serrasalmidae. The record is from Ensembl.